Molecule: non-coding RNA, 6513 nt
Organism: Struthio camelus australis
Lineage: Eukaryota; Metazoa; Chordata; Aves; Struthioniformes; Struthionidae
Source: RefSeq, a predicted model, not a curated record
UAUAUCAGUCAGCAUCAUGAGAAAUACUUAUUUUAAUAUUUUUCCUAUUUAAAUAGGUUAAAAUAAUUUUUUGUCUAUUUUAUAUCUCAAAAAUCAGAAAGAGUGAGGCAACUAGAUCAUUUCAAACCAAACAGAUUAUAACUGCUGAUCUAAUGUAGAUCAUUAGUGGCUAAAUUACAUUGGUCUGUGGCUAAAAUCACUGCAGGUGUUCUACUUAACAAAGUGUUCGUGACCAUGAAACAUUGGGGUUAUGAGGGUUUGUUAGUACAGGAGGAGAAAAGCGUGAAUGCUAAGUUGUGUUACAUCAAAGAAAGACAUUGAGGAUUGCCCUUUCUUCUCAUUAACUGCAGUCUUUGUUACUGUCAGCAGCUGCUGACCUGAAUCAAAGUGUAGUUGCUGAUGUAUAUGUGGAAAGUUCUAUAAAUUGCUAGUAAAUCGCACACACUCAACACAUCUAUUUUAUAGAUACUGCAGGCAACACAGGCGGAGUGGUUUAGUGAGUUUUCAAAAGCCAUACAGAGAACUAGUGGUAAACUCAGGGUUAAAACCUAUGCUUCCUGAUUCCAAAUUCUCUGGGAGGGGUUGAGGAAGAAGAAUAAACCAUAAACUCACCCUAACUAAAAAACAAACAAACAACAAUUUCAUAUGUAGGUCUUACCAGCUGAGCACUCAACAAUAACAAUUCUAGGGAUGUCAGUAAUUUAAAACAUAAUUUCUUUAACAGAGUGUUUUAGAAUUAUUUUCUUAAUUUAUUCCUAUGUAACAUGAAUUGGGCAAUCUCACUUUUAGGAGGAAAAAUGAUUUCAUAAUAUCACAUAUCUGGAGUCAGUUUCCAGUUAAUGUAGUCAGCUGCAUAGAAACCUGAUGCUGACUUUUUGGGGUUGGGGGAGGGAGUAAUUGCAUACUGACAUUUCAUGCGCAUUAUCUGCCUGGGCUCUUUAGGUCCUUGGCACAGAACUCCAUUAUUACCUGAUCAGUAGAUAAGUAACAAAAUAGAUUAGCAUGUCUGUGGAUUACCAGUAAACAGAGAGGGUGAAGCCUGACAGUUUGCCUAAUGAUUAUUUACCAUAUAGCAGAGAAAUGUCAAAACUUUGGAGUCAUGAUUUAAAUACUUCAUCUUUUAAAUGCACUUUGGCCCCUGUCCUCCUCCCCAGUAUUUCCUUCUGUUUCUCUUGUGUAUAUUUGUUCUUUUUUCAGUGUUCACCUGUAUGCCUUACCAAGCUUUUGUGUUCCUCUUUGGUCUGUAACAUCCCAUUGCUGCACCUCUGUCCUCACCAUCCUACCUGCUGAGUCUCUGUUUGUGUUCCUCAUCUGCCUUUUUUGCUCUUGGCGAUUUGUCAGAGCCAAAUGCAAGUAGGAUCUUCAAAGAUGUUAGCUACACAAUUGUAACACACUUCACAUAUGUCACAGAUACAUUUAGCUAUGAUUUUUCUGAGGCUCAUAGCUUGGCCAAGUAUGGAUGCCUUUCUAUGGAACUUAAACCAAGUCUAAGUCUGACUUCGGCAUGAUCAUUCUUCUAAUUUUGAAGUUCUUGUUUCAAGGGAUGUAGACAACUGAAUAUUUAAAUGAAAUAACAAGGAGGGUAUAUAGGCAGUUAUCAAGCUGUUAUACCCCUGCUUCAUUCUUGAAAUUCACGAAAAAUUUUUUACCUGAAACACUGACUUUCUUUUUUUAAUCUUAGUCUCAGGAUGAUACUCAUCCCAGGAAAGAUCAGUCCACACAGUUAAGCUGGCAGUGAAAUUGGAAAUAGUCUUCUAAUGGGAAGAAUUAGGCAAUCUUAACAGCAGGUGUCAGUGUGAACUCUGCCAAUAUAAUUAAGAAUGAAAACAAUCUUGUUAAGGAGUUUCAACACCGUCAUGUGAUUUUGUAAGUUGUGUAUUUUAGAAGCUGUGUUAUUAGAAAGUACUUUACAAAGAUUGUUGUUUCAGAUGUUCAGUGUAUAUCAACAAGUUAAAAUAUCAUGAUCUUAUAUUCUGUCUUGUCAGCCAUUUUCACUAGCAGCAGCACUAUAUUGAGAAGUUUGAAAUCACAUCUCUGAAAGCAGCAACCAUGUAUGUAAAUGUGACACAUCUGAGAAAUAAGUAAUAUUUGCAUUAUAGAAGAAUAUGCUAAAUAAAUGAUAAGGUUGAUGGAAAAGACAGGCUAAACUCUGAAAAGACAGAAUAAAACUCUUAAGAGAUUUGAAGAACUGUAUAGCCAAUGAAAAAAUCUAGUGUAGAAAGUCACUGAAGCAUGUAGUAAUAAAAAUCAAUUGUCCGAAGAGCUGGCUGAACAAGCUGUAAGAAGUUAAUGAAAUGAAUGAAAUUAGAAACACCUGGUAACUAGUAAAAUAGGUUUUUUUUUUUUUUUUUUUUUUUCCUUUUCCCAGCAAGGAAGAAAUGAACACUUACUCUUAACUUGAAAUCCAUUUAGGUCUUUCCUCUUCACUUCUGCUUUUAGCUAAUACCUUCAGCCAGCUAUUUUUGGGCCAGGUGUGAAAAGAUAUUUUCUGUUAUUGCAGAUCUCAGGAGUGCCUACCUAUAUUUUAUCUCAGUUACAGGUAUUCCAGCCAUUACACUGUCAAGAUAUUUACUCUUCAUUUUUCUGAGAAGAGAGACCUAGGAAUUUUUGUCAAGGUGGUUAUUUUAAAAUCUGCCUUACAUAAAAGCUAUGGGGAAUUGCAGCUUAGGCAGCCGCAGGUUUAUUCUGUGUUAGAUUGGAUAUGAGAUAAAAAUCUUAGUGAAGUGAGAAAACAUACAGAAGGAAAAUUUAAAAGUUCUGAUAUAUAUAUCUCUCUCUAUAUAUAGAUAGAUAGAUACACACACACACACAUACAUGUAUAUGUAUGUAGAGGAACAAAGCUGGAAGGCAACCAGAUUUUCCCAGCUGAGAAUUCCCCUGGCACUAGGGGACUCAGCUGGCAUUCAGCCUGUUUAGCUGGCUCCUGCCCCAUUCCCCUCCUGUGCAAGGAGAGCUGCAAGUACAUUGCCCUUCAGCUAUACUCAGCUGGUGUACAUAAAGAAGCUUUCACUAGGAUUUAGGACAAUGUAAAUCUGUCCUGAGGAUUAAUGAUCUAUAACUUCCUCUAUCUUUCUUCCCAGUCUACACCACCCAAUACGUUUUAUCUUUUUGGCGUGUGGAUCACAUCGUGUGUUACCUGAGUGACUCCAAAGUAUUAAUGUAUUAUCUUCCUAAGCCCUGUAAGGUAGAAGAGCUCUGCUGCUCCCCUUAUUACAUAUGCAUGGGGAAUUAAGGCAGUGCUUUGUUUUUACUGUCUUUGAAAUCUGUGUUUGAAUUCAAAGAACCAAAUGGCUUGAGCUAUGGCUGUAUGGCCUGGAGGAGCAGGAGCUCGAGUAUGAGCCAGUCUUGCUGUCUGCCUCAGAUUCUUAUUUUGGAGAGGCACCUUGCUUUUUCCAGAUGAGAAUCAAAGUGAGAGUCAAUGUGCAGGCAAUAUAGUCCCCAGAGUGUUUGGACUCUGGCCCCAGGUAACAUGACAGUGUAGAUAUAGCAGAGAUGCAUCAGCCAGAGCUGUUAUAGUGAUCAAGUGUCCAUAGUUUCAGCCCAGAACAGCCAAGUUUUGUGAAACUGGGACUCAAGAGUGGAAUUCAAAACUCAAUAUGGAGGAUAGACAAAGUCAGGGUAAUCCAAAAAAAUUCAUGUAAUGAGCCACUUUAAAUUAUCCAAAAGCUACUGGUGAUUCAGAGGUACAUCUGAAAAUUCAUUCUCUUUGGGACUUAAAGUACCUAACUCAAGACUGCAAGGUAAGAAUUUAAUCUCUUUCUCUGAGAGUAAGUACCUACAAGUAAUCUAUGAAGGGAGCAAGUAAACUUUGGUUGUACUGUUCCUUUGAUAUGAUAUCCUAAUUGGUUACAGCAUUUGACUGGGAAAUGGAGACAUUGGCACUUCCAUUUUUUCUCUCUUUUCAGGUGGAAGAAUUUAAAAUCCACAUCUCCCAUGAAGCUGCCUUAACCAUUAGGGUACUGGAUAGUCUGAUAUGGGGCAUGAUCUUAUUGCAGCAGGACCUCUGUGCAGAAAAGCAGGUUAAAUAUGCUGUACUGGAAGCAGGGAGGAAGCCUGAUCCUGAGCCAUGCGGUUACGGCGUUACGGAUCAGACUGCAAGCAGUUUGGCUGAAACAAGAAUGCUGGAUACUGACAUCUCCCACUUGUUACAUCUAACCGCAGCCUAACUUCUACGUGGGAUUAAUCAAGAUACAGAAAAAACAAGCGGCACUUUAAGCUGGUUCUGACUUUAAAGCUGUCUUUAAAUGAGCUUAGUUUGGGGCACUGGAUAGCAUGUUAUCAAUAGCUGUCAUUAUCAAUACCUGUAGCUAAAAGUGUGAUUUGGUUAUAUAAUGAUCCUAGGCUGGCAGAGAAUCCUAGAAAACAGACAGUUUUGAAAGACCUUUGGGUUCUGCAAAACAUUGCUUAGUUUCUUACAUAAUUAACUGUGCUCAUUAUGUAGAAAUUCAGUGAAAUUAUCAUAACUCUGUUCAGGAUCAGCUUGAUAGAGAGAAACUGAGAUCAUGAUUAGGUGUGAACAGAGACUGCCUAUUUGAAUUAUCUUAAUUCGUUAAUUAUCGUAGUUUUAAAUCUCAUAGUUCCUGCUUCCUAUUAUUCACUAAAUUUGUUUACUGUAUCCUUUGUUAAGUUAUUUAGAAAGGGAUAGUCUCUCAUAAAUUUUAAAACUGAUUUGUACAGCACCUAACACAGGAAAAACAACUCCAUCUCUUAAAUCCGUUUGUUCAGGAACAAAUAGGUUCAUCAGUUCAGCAUAAUCAAAAUGAUACUUGGAAGGGUCUUUCAUUUCCAUCAGCUGAUUAAUCUUUACCUUUAAUUUCACUCUCCUAAUUUGGAUAACCCUUUGGUUGCAAAUUUUCUCUUAAAGUAUGAGACGAGAAGGUUUUUUUUAACCCAAUCAAAUAUUCUUGAGGGGAAAAAAAAAACAAACCCAGUGCAUAGAAGGCAGUUCAAAGCUCUAAGCCAGAAUAAAAUGGUUCCAUUUUUCCCCUAGUUAUUUAGUCAUUCAGAUGUCUUUUUCUGAAUUCCUCAUUACUUACAGAACUAAUCUAAAUCCACUGAGUCCCCAAAAGACCAGACAGAAGCUUCUGUCAUAGCCCUAAUGCUCCUCAUGAGUUGCUUUGUAUUUUUAUGUAAGUUUUUGCAAAUUAUGAUGAUAAAAGAGAAAAGCCCUAAAAGGAUCAUUCCGAGGCUCCUGUUGUCAGCAUAUUAUAAGUUAUUGUCAUAUCUUUCUGUGAUGAAAUUAUGCUUACAUAUUACAAAGACUAGGACAUACAGAAAAUUGUCACAUAAGACUGUGGUAAGACAACAUAAAGUCACAAGAGGAAGAAAAUGGCAGCUUAUAGUACAGCAUAGUCUUAACAGGCCUUUUGGCAUCCAGCUAAUGUGAUAGGUGUGGAACAUAGGAUCAGAUGGUGUCACUGUGCAAUGUUAUAUCUAGUAAUAACCAAAAAAUAGGGGGUAAAGAUGGAUCAAUACAACAUUUUAAAAAAUCCGGAGAAAGUGAUUUUAUAGAAGAAAACUGAAGCUAAAUAAGCAAACAAUUAAAAAACUACAUAUUCUUCAGCUGUUAUCCCGCCAUCAACUACAAAAUGUGUCUAAAAAUCUUCCUUGUACUCCUUUAUUCUGUUCCAGUUUUAUCUAGAUCUGAAUUAUCGCUGAACUGCCUGUUCUGAAAUUAAAGUCCGUAAGCAUGGGUUGGGACAAUGUGGUUGCAUCUUACAGAAUGACCCAGCUUCAGGAGGGAAAGAGCGGAAGACUAAUACCAAUACCAGGAAGGUGGUGGUCUACCAGAUCUGCAUGGGUGAAGUUUCCUCUUUAAGGAAAAUUGACAGGCCUAUCACAAGAGCAGGUCUAGAAAAAAGAAAACUGUGCUCCAAAAGCAAAAAGGUGUGGUCGUGUUAUUGAAUUUUAAGCAGUGCCCUGAAAAAACUGGAUUGUGAUUCACUUUUUAAUAAAAUUCAAACAGUGAACCUUCAGGGUUUAAAAUCUCCAUAUAAAUCUCAUAUGUCACAUCCCACUUCUGGAACCUCAUGACAAAAAAUCUAUUUUAUUAUGCUGUAAAAUGUGCAAAUAUUACUGUGAUGGUAGUUCCAUAAAAGCUUGGAAGGUAAAUUUUUCGGUUUUGCAUAUAAUGAACAAAUUUAUUGCCUUUGGUAGGAGUGGCUAGCCAAUAUUUAGAGCUUUUCUUGCAUUAAGAAGAGAAAUGGAGAAUAGUCCAACAGUGGCAAUCCUGAUAAUUUAAAAGAAUGUACACAACAUCCUGUUUUCUGGAAAAUAGUAAAUUGUAGAAAAAAUCAAGAUGAGGCAGCUUGUUUGGUCAGAAAUCAAAAUCUGCCUGGGCUUUCUGGAAUUUUGCUCCAAAAAAACCCUUAUAUGGCUUGAUCACAUAGACAUUCCUUUACCUGCUCCUCUCAGGGAAUAUAUACACCUGUAAUAAGUCUCCUAACACCCAGGAGACCUUCUCCACAUUUCCCAUCUUGAGCUGCAACGUAGUUAGUUAAUUAGUUAGUUAAC